AGUGAACGCUGGCGGCGUGCCUAAUACAUGCAAGUCGAACGGAAUUUAAAAGAGCUUGCUCUUUUAAAUUUAGUGGCGCACGGGUGAGUAAUAUAUAGCUAAUCUGCCCCUUGCUGGAGGACAACAGUUAGAAAUGACUGCUAAUACUCCAUACUCCUUUUUACCAUAAGAUAAAUCGGGAAAGAAUUUCGGCAAGGGAUGAGACUAUAUCGUAUCAGCUAGUCGGUGGGGUAACGGCCUACCGAGGCUAUGACGCGUAACUGGUCUGAGAGGAUGAUCAGUCACAUUGGAACUGAGACACGGUCCAAACUCCUACGGGAGGCAGCAGUAGGGAAUAUUGCGCAAUGGGGGAAACCCUGACGCAGCAACGCCGCGUGGAGGAUGACACUUUUCGGAGCGUAAACUCCUUUUGUUAGGGAAGAAUAAUGACGGACCUAACG
This 440-nucleotide ribosomal RNA is filed under the name Campylobacter gracilis. RNAcentral describes it as "bacterial SSU rRNA". It matches the Rfam family "Bacterial small subunit ribosomal RNA", at positions 29 to 484 of the family's 1533-position model. Lineage: Bacteria; Pseudomonadati; Campylobacterota; Epsilonproteobacteria; Campylobacterales; Campylobacteraceae. The record is from RNAcentral.